GAUGAACGCUGGCGGCGUGCCUAAUACAUGCAAGUCGAGCGAACGGACGAGAAGCUUGCUUCUCUGAUGUUAGCGGCGGACGGGUGAGUAACACGUGGAUAACCUACCUAUAAGACUGGGAUAACUUCGGGAAACCGUAGCUAAUACCGGAUAAUAUUUUGAACCGCAUGGUUCAAAAGUGAAAGACGGUCUUGCUGUCACUUAUAGAUGGAUCCGCGCUGCAUUAGCUAGUUGGUAAGGUAACGGCUUACCAAGGCAACGAUGCAUAGCCGACCUGAGAGGGUGAUCGGCCACACUGGAACUGAGACACGGUCCAGACGCCUACGGGAGGCAGCAGUAGGGAAUCGUCCGCAAUGGGCGAAAGCCUGACGGAGCAACGCCGCGUGAGUGAUGAAGGUCUUCGGAUCGUAAAACUCUGUUAUUAGGGAAGAACAUAUGUGUAAGUAACUGUGCACAUCUUGACGGUACCUAAUCAGAAAGCCACGGCUAACUACGUG
Molecule: ribosomal RNA, 497 nt
Filed under: uncultured bacterium
Lineage: Bacteria
Description: partial 16S ribosomal RNA
Rfam family: Bacterial small subunit ribosomal RNA
Source: RNAcentral